CACGGUUAUUCAUUUUCAUCAGUGGAGGGUGCCAUAGAUAUUCCGCCCCUUCGAUUUCCAUGAGGAUCUGUGCACGAGGAGCAAAGAAAGGAGUAUAGGAAUCAUACCUAUUAUACAUCGGCCUUGGACUCCAUCGUCGGGGUGAGGGUCAUUUAUCGGACGGUGGCCUACUUGAUUCGACCAGAGCCCCACUCUUCUUCUACUUUUUCUUUUGAUCUUUGCUUUCUGUCUGGCGCCAGUUAGAACUCCUUCGUCCGCGUGCAUGUAUUUGUAUGC
RNAcentral lists this long non-coding RNA (276 nucleotides) under Elaeis guineensis (African oil palm). RNAcentral describes it as "long non-coding RNA (EGUI_LNC066235)". Lineage: Eukaryota; Viridiplantae; Streptophyta; Magnoliopsida; Arecales; Arecaceae. The record is from RNAcentral.